UACGGAGGGAGCUAGCGGUGUUCGGAAUUACUGGGCGUAAAGCGCACGUAGGCGGCUUUGUAAGUUAGAGGUGAAAGCCCGGGGCUCAACCCCGGAAUUGCCUUUAAGACUGCAUCGCUUGAAUCCGGGAGAGGUGAGUGGAAUUCCGAGUGUAGAGGUGAAAUUCGUAGAUAUUCGGAAGAACACCAGUGGCGAAGGCGGCUCACUGGACCGGUAUUGACGCUGAGGUGCGAAAGCGUGGGGAGCAAACAGG
This 253-nucleotide ribosomal RNA is filed under the name uncultured bacterium. Its description in RNAcentral is "partial 16S ribosomal RNA". It matches the Rfam family "Bacterial small subunit ribosomal RNA", at positions 524 to 776 of the family's 1533-position model. The record is from RNAcentral.